Nannospalax galili (Upper Galilee mountains blind mole rat) is the source of this 204-nucleotide small nucleolar RNA. Its record names the gene SNORA73. It matches the Rfam family "Small nucleolar RNA SNORA73 family". Rfam says of the family: U17 (SNORA73A and SNORA73B) also known as E1 belongs to the H/ACA class of small nucleolar RNAs (snoRNAs). The record is from Ensembl. NCBI's taxonomy places the organism in Eukaryota, Metazoa, Chordata, Mammalia, Rodentia, Spalacidae.
CCAAUGUGGAUAUCCCAGGAGGUCACUCUCCCCAGGCUCUGUCCUAGUGGUAUAGGGGAGCAUAGGGCUCUGCCCCAUGAUGUACAGUCCCUUUCCACAACUUUGGAGAUGAAGCUGGGCUUCAAGUCUGUGCCUGCAUAUUCCUAUGACUUCUCAGAGUCCUCUCGAUGAUGACUGGGGAGACAAACCAUGCAGGAAAUAGUC